RNAcentral lists this ribosomal RNA (1383 nucleotides) under Staphylococcus epidermidis. RNAcentral's name for it is "bacterial LSU rRNA". It matches the Rfam family "Bacterial large subunit ribosomal RNA", at positions 1541 to 2925 of the family's 2925-position model. RNAcentral also lists the same sequence under 1 other name. The record is from RNAcentral. Lineage: Bacteria; Bacillati; Bacillota; Bacilli; Caryophanales; Staphylococcaceae.
UCCGGCACUCAUAAGGCUGAGCUGUGAUGGGGAGAGGAAAUUGUUUCCUCGAGUCGUUGAUUUCACACUGCCGAGAAAAGCCUCUAGAUAGAUAACAGGUGCCCGUACCGCAAACCGACACAGGUAGUCAAGAUGAGAAUUCUAAGGUGAGCGAGCGAACUCUCGUUAAGGAACUCGGCAAAAUGACCCCGUAACUUCGGGAGAAGGGGUGCUCUUUAGGGUUCACGCCCAGAAGAGCCGCAGUGAAUAGGCCCAAGCGACUGUUUAUCAAAAACACAGGUCUCUGCUAAACCGUAAGGUGAUGUAUAGGGGCUGACGCCUGCCCGGUGCUGGAAGGUUAAGAGGAGUGGUUAGCUUCUGCGAAGCUACGAAUCGAAGCCCCAGUAAACGGCGGCCGUAACUAUAACGGUCCUAAGGUAGCGAAAUUCCUUGUCGGGUAAGUUCCGACCCGCACGAAAGGCGUAACGAUUUGGGCACUGUCUCAACGAGAGACUCGGUGAAAUCAUAGUACCUGUGAAGAUGCAGGUUACCCGCGACAGGACGGAAAGACCCCGUGGAGCUUUACUGUAGCCUGAUAUUGAAAUUCGGCACAGCUUGUACAGGAUAGGUAGGAGCCUUUGAAACGUGAGCGCUAGCUUACGUGGAGGCGUUGGUGGGAUACUACCCUAGCUGUGUUGGCUUUCUAACCCGCACCACUUAUCGUGGUGGGAGACAGUGUCAGGCGGGCAGUUUGACUGGGGCGGUCGCCUCCUAAAAGGUAACGGAGGCGCUCAAAGGUUCCCUCAGAAUGGUUGGAAAUCAUUCAUAGAGUGUAAAGGCAUAAGGGAGCUUGACUGCGAGACCUACAAGUCGAGCAGGGUCGAAAGACGGACUUAGUGAUCCGGUGGUUCCGCAUGGAAGGGCCAUCGCUCAACGGAUAAAAGCUACCCCGGGGAUAACAGGCUUAUCUCCCCCAAGAGUUCACAUCGACGGGGAGGUUUGGCACCUCGAUGUCGGCUCAUCGCAUCCUGGGGCUGUAGUCGGUCCCAAGGGUUGGGCUGUUCGCCCAUUAAAGCGGUACGCGAGCUGGGUUCAGAACGUCGUGAGACAGUUCGGUCCCUAUCCGUCGUGGGCGUAGGAAAUUUGAGAGGAGCUGUCCUUAGUACGAGAGGACCGGGAUGGACAUACCUCUGGUGUACCAGUUGUCGUGCCAACGGCAUAGCUGGGUAGCUAUGUAUGGACGGGAUAAGUGCUGAAAGCAUCUAAGCAUGAAGCCCCCCUCAAGAUGAGAUUUCCCAACUUCGGUUAUAAGAUCCCUCGAAGAUGACGAGGUUAAUAGGUUCGAGGUGGAAGCGUGGUGACACGUGGAGCUGACGAAUACUAAUCGAUCGAAGACUUAAUCAA